Molecule: ribosomal RNA, 361 nt
Filed under: Escherichia coli
Lineage: Bacteria; Pseudomonadati; Pseudomonadota; Gammaproteobacteria; Enterobacterales; Enterobacteriaceae
Description: bacterial SSU rRNA
Rfam family: Bacterial small subunit ribosomal RNA
Source: RNAcentral
GACGGGUGAGUAAUGUCUGGGAAACUGCCUGAUGGAGGGGGAUAACUACUGGAAACGGUAGCUAAUACCGCAUAACGUCGCAAGACCAAAGAGGGGGACCUUCGGGCCUCUUGCCAUCGGAUGUGCCCAGAUGGGAUUAGCUAGUAGGUGGGGUAACGGCUCACCUAGGCGACGAUCCCUAGCUGGUCUGAGAGGAUGACCAGCCACACUGGAACUGAGACACGGUCCAGACUCCUACGGGAGGCAGCAGUGGGGAAUAUUGCACAAUGGGCGCAAGCCUGAUGCAGCCAUGCCGCGUGUAUGAAGAAGGCCUUCGGGUUGUAAAGUACUUUCAGCGGGGAGGAAGGGAGUAAAGUUAAUA